Molecule: long non-coding RNA, 5752 nt
Organism: Monodelphis domestica (gray short-tailed opossum)
Lineage: Eukaryota; Metazoa; Chordata; Mammalia; Didelphimorphia; Didelphidae
Source: RefSeq, a predicted model, not a curated record
AAAUUGGUCGGUCAUCUGGACCCCUGUAGGACAUGAGGGGGAGGUAUGAAGUUCAAUCAGUCAAUGGACACUUACAAAGCAACUUCCAGUCAGGUCAGGUGCUAAGCAUGAGCAUACGAAGAAGGUCUGCUCUCAAGCCACUCACAGUCUACAUCAGGAGACAAAAUGUAAACUACAUACUAAUAAUAUUUGGGUAAAGGGCACAUAAUCAGUAGAGGGAAGGGACCAGCACUGGGGAGGAGUAGGAAAGGCUUUUCAUAGAAGAUGGAUUUUUUGUGUGAGAAUUGGAAGAAACUGAAGUCCAGGACACAAAUUUAGAGAACAAGCCUAAGAAAGAUAGAAGACUGAGUCUGACAUUUUUCUCCCUCUGAUGCCCCAAUUCAGGAACCAGUUUAGUCUAAAAUAAAGAAAACACAUUACCCAACUUCUGGUCAAGAUGGCAGCUUAGAGAAAGCUAAAGUUCAGAUCUCCUGAAACCCUUCCCUACCGAACUCAAACUAUAUGCUCCUAAGGCACCGAAAUUCAAAACAAACAACAGCAUAGACCCUGGGAAUCGUCCUCCUGGACCUGGACCUGGAUCAAAAGGCAGAAGAGUGGUAACGACUAGGCAAUGGAGAUCAAGUGACUUGUACAAGGUCAAUGAAGAGUCUGAGAUCAGAUUUGAACCCAGGACCUCCAGUCUCUGGACCUGGUUCUUAAUCCACUGAGUCACCCAGCUGUCCUCGGUCCUUUCUCCCCUCUCCACACCUUAGAAGGAUCAUCCAUCAAAUAGAUAUCUACUUAAGAUGAACAAGGAGAAAAACCAGAAUUGGAUACCAAGAAGGGAAUAUGCUGAAUUGCCUUCAAGAUAUUGUCCAGUACUUUCUCCAGACCAUGCCUGCUCCUUAUCACAAAGGAAAAAUUUUUCACUGAAUGAGUUUUCCUGGUAAUGAUGAAUAUCUGCCAAUCUUGGAGUAUCAUCCUGACAAUGGAAAGAGAGUUCCUGAUGACCAAAAGGCACUCAAGACAUGAAUCCUCCAAGUCCAGUGGCAAGAUAAAAAAGUCAGAAUGAUUGGCAAUAGCUCAGGACACAGCGUGUGACUGGCAUCUCCGAUUCCUGACCAAGCUUGAGAUGCUGCACAGAACCAGCUUCAGCUGCCUUCAUGGUCUUUGGAACACAAUGUUCUCAUCUGUUCAUUCUAAGGAAGGAGAUCUUCUCGUGCAUGCAGCAGACAUCCCUCCAACUCACCAAUGAGUCCAAGGCUUGUAGAUUACCUUCAACCUAUUUAUCUUGUUCACUGUAUUGGUUUUACCAGAGUAUGACUAUGGUACAUGCUACAGCUUCUUGGAGCCACAGGUGAGAGUUGAGUCAAUGGUGGACAUCAAAGAUAAAUGAGCAGUUUUGAAAAAUGCUUUGGCAAAUCCAAAUGGCAGAGGUUCUAGUCCUCCCUGAACCCCACACAUACCCUAAUUGUCUUACUGUGUGGCAGAAUGAAAAAAAAAAUGCUAACAUCUAAAUAGCUUCCAGCCUAAUGGAGAAGAUAAGAAUAUCCAUAAUUAAAUACAUUAUUAUAUAAAUAAAUAUGAAUGGAAAAGUUAAAAACAAAGUUCAUAACAAUUUAUCAAUUGCUUUCUGUAAGUCCCCAUUUAAGAUUCUUUGUCAUUACUCUCAAUUCAUGUUUCCUCCUUAUCCUGUAGAAGUUAUGUUAUGUUAUGUUAUGUUAUGUUAUGUUAUGUUAUGUUAUGUUAUGUUAUGUUAUGUUAUGUUAACAUUACUAAAUAUUCCAUUUUUUUCUGAUUUAGAGGUUUUUGUUUUGUUUUGAUUUCAUCAAGAAUUGCACAGAAUAACAACGAAUCUUGGAAUUGGAAAGGAUCUCAGGGACCAUCUAUUACAACCCAAAUUUGAACAAGGAUAAUUUCCUAACAGACUUUAGUUUCUAGAUUUCAUUGCAUUUUUCAUAUGUGCUAUUAAAAUUAAAUUCUUCUGGGUGGUACCACUAUUCCGUGUAAUCAGAGCCCAAAUGGAAUGGACUAGUUUAUGAACUAGUAAAUGACUUACCAUUAGAAGGAUUUGCAUAUAUUUUAGAUAAUGUCAUAGCAGAGAAUCCUUAUAUGUGGUGAUAUAUUUUACUAGAUAAUCCCUUAUAUUCUAAAAUGUUAGGAGUGAUAUCCCACUUUUCUUUCUUCUAGACAGAUCUGUCCAUAGAUGGGAUAAUGAAUCACAAUCCAAUUAUAAUUUCAAGUUACUUUUGGCCUGUUGCUCACUAAUUUGAUUGAAGCCACAAUCUCAAAAUGCACUCUAGUUUGUUUCUUUUUCGGUUCUUCAAAGAGAGAUAAUGUGAGAUAAAGGGAAGCAUGCCAGGUUUAGAUUCAGGUAAGGUUCAGGUUCAAAUCUCAUAUUUAUAACUUCUGUGCUUCAUGAAUGUGAAAAAAAUUGUUUGAUUUCUCUGAACAUCAGCUCACUUAUAUCAGCAAAACUGGGGUAUUUGGUAGAGGUUUAGCACAACAAAAACAAAGAAGUAGAGAAAUGAAGCAAGAAUAAGAAAUAAUAGACCUCAGUAACAUACUGUGCAUUAAAAUCAAAGAAUAUUAGGUAUUUGGGUAUACAAUGAGAACUACUAGAAAGAUGGGAAAACAGUUUAACCAAAAAAAAGGUUUAAACUAGCAACCUAUACCAUAUGUCACAUUAAAUUUUUACUAAAUGUUUAUUCUACAUACGAAAGACAGUAUCGUUUUUUAAUGGAGGAAAAUUGAAAGAGAUAAUGUUCCUGACUUUGGCAAGCACAAGAACUUUGAACAAGAGAAGGGACAAGCAUAAAAAAGACAAUAUUUUAUUAUAUGAACCUGAAAAGCUUUUACUCACCUACAUUUUCCCCCUCCCCCACAAAAAAGCAAGGCAACUGCCAAGAAGGGAAGCUUUCUAUUGGGAGAAAAAUCUUUACUUUGAACACUUCUGAUUCAAAUCUGAUAUUUAAAUAAAUAAAGAACUAAUUACAUAUUUCUCAAGACACUAUGAAUUACCCACCAUCUUAUAAAGGAAAGCACAAGUGAAAGGAACACCUAUGUCAGUGGUGGCUAUAGUCCUCUACUUUGUGGCCAUUUUCUUGACAGCAUUGCUUGGCUUCCCUGAUGACCAGGGAAUAUAAUCUUUCAUCUCUGGAGUUUCUGUCCUGGAGUCUUGCUGUCCUGAUCAGUGAAUUACCUCAAAAAGGCCACUAUUUCAGUCAGACCUUAGCCACAAUUUAUUUUACUCUCUACUUUUUGUAUACACUUUUCUUGUUCUGGAAGCAUGAUCAAAUCAAUUUUGUUAUUGUUCAUAGAAUCCUAGAAUGGCUGAGCCAGACUCCUCCAGUGCUCCCCUCUAUGUGUUUUUUUUAAUGCCUGUUGGAAUGUAGAUAGAGACUGCUUAGCCUAGUGAUUGGAAUAUAAUAAAUGUUUAGGAAAUUACUUUUAUCCUUUUAUCCAUUCAGUCAUUCAUGAAUGAUAUCAAGGAGCCAAGAAAGCAUGAAAAAGCCAAGUUGCUGAAAGGAAGAAUUAAAUUUAAUUCAUAAAACUUUUUACUAAGUCUUGGAUGCUAGAUACUAUGAUUUCUUUGCUAUAUGAAUAAAAAAGUCCUAAUGAUUAUUAGAGAGAAACAGCACAUAUGUAGAUAAGUAAAUACAAAAAAACAAAUAUAGAAAAUUUUAUUUGAAACAGGGAGAGUAUUAAGAGUUGAAUGGAGGCAUCAUGAAACCCUUCACUUCAGAUUAAAUAUGAUGUGAGUUUUGAGAGGAGAUAGGAAUUUGAAGAUAUGAGAGUGGAAAAUUCCAUUCUCAGUAUGAGUCAGUCUACAUUAGGCAUGGAGGCAAAAGAUGGAAUGCCAUGUAUAAGGAAGACACUGUUUUCCAACUCCUAUUUGUAACAUGAUUUUCAUUCAGAGAAAUUAGUCACCAGUUGGUUUUGUUUUUGAAUCUCAGCAUCUGGGACAAUGCCUUUUAGUGUUUUGUUUUCCUUUUUGGAUUGCAUUGGAUUGAGUAUAUAAAUAUAAAACUGUAAUACCUCACCCGUCCCUGGAAGGCAGACUCUUCACGUAUGCAAAUGGUAACUGAUUAAUAAUACAGAGGGACAAAACCUGGCACAAUAAUUCUUUAAUGUGUACACUAUAUACAAUGACUAAAGACUCAUUAGUAAGAAAUUAGAUACUUGUGUCAUUUCUAACCAAAACCUAAAGUCAACAAUUAGGGGACUUUCAAAGUGUUGGAUAGAAUCCACAUGCAGACUCUAAAAUAUUCUGGAAGUCCCAAGAUGAUGCACUCUGGGAUGCUAGGGAGACUAAUAUUGCCUUUUGACAAAUUAUUGUUGUUGUGGAAAACAUUAAGGACACAUUCUCUUCAAAAUCAAAUCUCCAUUUCGGCACAAUCAGCAGGGCUUAAUUAGAGAACAUGAAUAAUUGAACUUGGGCUGCUGCUGCUCUCUCUCUGAGAUAGAGACCCAAGAGUCAUGUGGAAGUAAAUCUGAGUUAGACAAAAGGGUAUGUUUCAUUGAAUCAUCCUCUUAUGUUUUUCUCUCUUUGACAGCAACCUUUUCAAUGAUAAUUCAAAUGAACACCCUCCAAGCAAAUACUAUAAAUAUGGGUCUUCAGUUAACAGAGAAGGGGGAAAAAAGAUCCGUUAGUAUUUCAAACUUAAAAGCAAGUUCCCAUGAAUAAAAUAAUUCAAAAGGAACACAGGGAAAUAUGAAAGCCACAUAACUAAAAAGAAAGAUGUUGGGAACAAUAUGGAGAUUUAAUUGAUGCUCCAGUAUCCUUAUUGAUGUCUAACAUUAUUGAAAUAGGUAUUCUCUUCAAUGACUCAUAUCCUAAAUGUUGUCAUUAGAUCUGUCCAUGCUGUGGGAUUCUCAUCCAAGUCCUUCCAUACAUUCAGCAUUCUGAGGACUGGAGACCUACUUCUAGUUUUACUGACAAUUGUGGAUACCAAUGUAUUGCGGAAGUAGAGUCAGGAAUUCCUAAGCUCAAAUCUUUAUUAGAUAUGUGAUGCUACAGAAUAGUUUUUUUAUUCUCGAGCAACUCUCUAAAAUUAAAAGUAUAGGUGUAUAUUGCACAAGUAGAGAUUCUUUGAUUGAAAAAAUUACAAAUACCCUAUCUGCCCAUCUGUACCCUGGAUCCUUGAUUUCAUUAAUCUAGGGACAUUUGUUUUAAAGUCCAGUCCACUAUCUAGUGUGCUGGAUUAGAGGUAAAAAUUGAAGUGUAAAAAUAUGGUAUGAAGAAGGCUACAAAGCCAUGUGGUGGUUCAUUUGAGCCUCAUAUCUAACUUCUAAAGGAAAUACUAUAAGUAUUGGUUAUCUCCAUUUUACAGAUCAGAAAAAUGAGGCUCAGAUAAAUUGACUUGUCCAUGGUUACACAGCCAGUUAAUGGUAGGAUUUUAACCUGUCUUCCCAAUGCCACAUCCAGAAUCCCAAUCCUUUCAUUGCCAAUGCUGCAAAUCACAAUAAAAGGGCACAUAAUGUGGGUACAGACUAGAAAAUUGGGAGCCAGGGAGAUAAAGUACCUUGCUAAAAUAAAUAAAAUAACUCACAUUUUUGGGAAUAUAUUAAAGCUUAUAUUUUUAUUUGAGCUUCACAGUCCUUUGGGGCAAUUCAUUUAGUUAGUCCCACUAUAUUGAAGAGGACACUGGGGGUCAGAAAGACUAAAGCACUUGCCCAGGUUCAUAGGAAGUGUCUGAGAAUGGAUUUAAAACCAGUUUGUACUGAUAUCAAGUUCACCAUGCUAUCCACUAUGUACUACUUACUCUCAAUA